AUAAUGCGGCAUUAGAAUAGUAGUUUCCUAAACUGUAGAUUCGGGUUCGAUUCCCGAUGCGACCA
RNAcentral lists this transfer RNA (65 nucleotides) under Bacteroidota bacterium. RNAcentral's name for it is "Bacteroidetes bacterium (groundwater metagenome) tRNA-Arg". It matches the Rfam family "tRNA". Rfam says of the family: Transfer RNA (tRNA) molecules are approximately 80 nucleotides in length. Their secondary structure includes four short double-helical elements and three loops (D, anti-codon, and T loops). Lineage: Bacteria; Pseudomonadati; Bacteroidota. The record is from RNAcentral.